This 440-nucleotide ribosomal RNA is filed under the name uncultured bacterium. RNAcentral's name for it is "bacterial SSU rRNA". It matches the Rfam family "Bacterial small subunit ribosomal RNA", at positions 337 to 794 of the family's 1533-position model. The record is from RNAcentral.
UCCUACGGGAGGCAGCAGUGGGGAAUCUUGGACAAUGGGCGCAAGCCUGAUCCAGCCAUGCCGCGUGAGUGAAGAAGGCCUUCGGGUUGUAAAGCUCUUUUGUCAGGGACGAUAAUGACGGUACCUGAAGAAUAAGCCCCGGCUAACUUCGUGCCAGCAGCCGCGGUAAUACGAAGGGGGCUAGCGUUGUUCGGAAUUACUGGGCGUAAAGCGCACGUAGGCUGAUACUUAAGUGAGGGGUGAAAUCCCGAGGCUCAACCUCGGAACUGCCUUUCAUACUGGGUAUCCCGAGUCCGGAAGAGGUUAGUGGAAUUCCCAGUGUAGAGGUGAAAUUCGUAGAUAUUGGGAAGAACACCAGUGGCGAAGGCGGCUAACUGGUCCGGUACUGACGCUGAGGUGCGAAAGCGUGGGGAGCAAACAGGAUUAGAUACCCCGGUAGC